GAUGAACGCUGGCGGCGUGCUUAACACAUGCAAGUCGAACGGAAAGGCCCAAGCUUGCUUGGGUACUCGAGUGGCGAACGGGUGAGUAACACGUGGGUGAUCUGCCCUGCACUUCGGGAUAAGCCUGGGAAACUGGGUCUAAUACUGGAUAGGACCACUUCUUGGAUGUUGUGGUGGAAAGUUUUUUCGGUGUGGGAUGAGCUCGCGGCCUAUCAGCUUGUUGGUGGGGUAAUGGCCUACCAAGGCGUCGACGGGUAGCCGGCCUGAGAGGGUGUACGGCCACAUUGGGACUGAGAGACGGCCCAGACUCCUACGGGAGGCAGCAGUGGGGAAUAUUGCACAAUGGGCGCAAGCCUGAUGCAGCGACGCCGCGGGGGGGAGGACGGCCUUCGGGUUGUAAACGCCUUUCGCUAGGGACGAAGCGUUUUGUGACGGUACCUGGAGAAGAAGCACCGGCUAACUACGUG
This 467-nucleotide ribosomal RNA is filed under the name uncultured bacterium. RNAcentral describes it as "partial 16S ribosomal RNA". It matches the Rfam family "Bacterial small subunit ribosomal RNA", at positions 28 to 507 of the family's 1533-position model. The record is from RNAcentral.